This 752-nucleotide long non-coding RNA is filed under the name Marmota monax (woodchuck). The record is from RNAcentral. Lineage: Eukaryota; Metazoa; Chordata; Mammalia; Rodentia; Sciuridae.
UUCCCCAGGAAGCAGGCCAGGAUGGUCUACCUGGGCCGGGGUCUGGAGACACAACAGCAACAGAGACAGACGGACGUGGUUUUCCCCUUCCCGGAGGACGACAGCGGGAAACAUGCAGAGCUCACGACAAAAUGUUGAGGGGUGACCUUUCUCCAGGCUGAUCACUCCCGGGCCCCUGGGUGGCUCCCCACCCAACAGCAUUUCCAAUCUUUUCACCAGAAUUGUCUCAUAGUUCUGCAGGUCAGAAGUGGGACACAGCUCACUGAGCCGAGAUCUGGUGCUGGCCUUGAUCUGUCUCUUUGCCUUUUCAGGUUUCUGGAGACUCCUAUGUCCUCUUUGGCGCGGGGUGCCCUUCCUGCACUUGGAAGCGAGCAACGUCAGGCCGAGUCCUUCCCAUGAUGCCAUCUCUCUCAUUCUUUCCUCCGAUUCUGUCUUCUCCUUUCAAGUCCCUUGGGAUUACACUGGGUCUCCCCAGACCACGCAGGAAACCUCUCUGGUUUAAAAACAGCUGAUAAGCAUCUUUCGUUCCAUCUGCACAAUGGAUUCUUUUUGCCAUGGAACGUAACACGGUCAGGGUUCUGGGAAUUAGGAUGUAGAUCGACAGCUCUGUGGGACUGUUAUCCUGCCUGUGAUUCAUCUCUUCAAAGCAUGCAAUUCAGCCAGGGGUGGUGGCACACACCUGUAAACCAGAGACCCAGGAAGCUGAGGCAGGAGGAUGGCAAAUUCGGUCAGCCUCAGCCACUUGGCAAGGC